This 460-nucleotide ribosomal RNA is filed under the name uncultured bacterium. RNAcentral's name for it is "partial 16S ribosomal RNA". It matches the Rfam family "Bacterial small subunit ribosomal RNA", at positions 338 to 795 of the family's 1533-position model. The record is from RNAcentral.
CCUACGGGCGGCUGCAGUGAGGAAUAUUGGUCAAUGGACGAGAGUCUGAACCAGCCAAGUAGCGUGAAGGAUGACUGCCCUAUGGGUUGUAAACUUCUUUUAUAUGGGAAUAAAACGUUCCACGUGUGGGAUUUUGUAUGUACCAUAUGAAUAAGGAUCGGCUAACUCCGUGCCAGCAGCCGCGGUAAUACGGAGGAUCCGAGCGUUAUCCGGAUUUAUUGGGUUUAAAGGGAGCGUAGGUGGAUUGUUAAGUCAGUUGUGAAAGUUUGCGGCUCAACCGUAAAAUUGCAGUUGAAACUGGCAGUCUUGAGUACAGUAGAGGUGGGCGGAAUUCGGGGUGUAGCGGUGAAAUGCUUAGAUAUCACGAAGAACUCCGAUUGCGAAGGCAGUUCACUGGACUGCAACUGACACUGAGGCUCGAAAGUGUGGGUAUCAAACAGGAUUAGAUACCCCAGUAGUC